AACGUGAGCCGAAAUCAAGAGUUGGACGUUUAGCUGACUGAGCCACCUAGGUACCCCUUAAGAUUUUAUUUUUAGGGUGCUUGGGUGGCUCAGUCGGUUAAGUGUCUGCUUUCAGCUCAGGUCAUGAUCCCAGGG
This is a non-coding RNA of Canis lupus familiaris (dog), 135 nucleotides long. The record is from RefSeq and is marked provisional. Lineage: Eukaryota; Metazoa; Chordata; Mammalia; Carnivora; Canidae.